GAUGAACGCUGGCGGCGUGCUUAACACAUGCAAGUCGAACGGAAAGGCGCUGCUUUUGUGGGGUGCUCGCGUGGCGAACGGGUGAGUAACACGUGAGUAACCUGGCCUUGACUUUGGGAUGACUUCAGGAAACUGGGGCUAAUACCGGAUAGGAGCUCCUGCUGCAUGGUGGGGGUUGGACAGUUUCGGCGGUUGGGGAUGGACUCGCGGCUUAUCAGCUGGUUGGUGGGGUAGUGGCUUACCAAGGGUUUGACGGGUAGCCGGCCUGAGAGGGUGACCGGCCACAUUGGUGCUGAGAUACGGCCCAGACUCCUACGUGAGGCAGCAGUGGGGAAUAUUGCACAAUGAGCGGAAGCCUGAUGCAGCAGCGCCGCGUGCGGGAUGACGGCCUUCGGGUGGUAAACCGCUGUCUCCUGUGACGAAGCGUGAGUGACGGUAAUGGGUAAAGAAGCACCGGCUAACUACGUG
RNAcentral lists this ribosomal RNA (468 nucleotides) under uncultured bacterium. RNAcentral's name for it is "partial 16S ribosomal RNA". It matches the Rfam family "Bacterial small subunit ribosomal RNA", at positions 28 to 507 of the family's 1533-position model. The record is from RNAcentral.